AAGAAAAUAUGGACUUUGCGACAGUUGAAUUGUGACAACAAAGUCAAAACCGUUGCAAUGUGUUUUUUUUUGGAAUUUUGUGACAGUGUAUAUGACGGUUUGAUCAACCGUCGCAGCUUUUGGUUCUAAAACCGUGAAACCAUGUUUUAAUUUAGCCCCAUACAGAUCUACUCAGACAUACUCAAAUCCUUCUUCACUUUUUGUUCUAAAAAAACCCUAAAAUCCCUAAAUCCCAAUCUCUCUUGCGACAAAUCCACGCUCCAAAUCCUGUUCCCCAUCAUCGUUCCAAUCCCACCAAUCCCUAAAUCUCCUUCAUGUUUCAAUCAACGAAGCUUCAUCGUUCUGUUUCUAUUCUCUCUCUCUCUCUCUCUCUCUCUCUCUCGUUAUGUCUCCGACAACGACGGCAGCGUCCGCCACCCUUCAGGCAACAUCCGGCAGCACAAGACACCAUCUAUUGUUUACACUUAAGGUUUGUUUUCCCUUCUUUCUUCUUCCCUUUCUUUGUUCUGGUUAGUUUUCUAUUAGGUUGCACAACCUAAGCGUAGCCUAAGGGUUAUCUAUCUAUAUUUAUUUUUAUUUUUAUAUUAUUAUUAUUAUUAUAAAUCCUGAAAAGUUGAGCAAUUGUUUAGGUUAAUCUGCUCAACCAAUGAAAAACAUGUAAUCUGUUCUAAUUCUUUUAAGUAGGUUUCAAAUAAAUGUUUCUCUUUCUCAUUUGUUUGAUAAUGAAGUUUUGAUUGUUCAAUUGUAUAGAUGUUUCCAUUGAUAUAUUUCUAAAUGAUGCUAUAGAAUGUUUUUCAUCCUUGAACCUUAAUUUUGUUUGUGUCGUAUUUGACUUAUUUUGUGUUUGUUUGAGUUGUGUUUCUUUGAUUAGGUACACAGUGAAAGAAAAUAGCAUUUCUCGGUUCUAUUAGUGUAAGUCACUUUAUUUGAUUGUUCCUUUCGAUUGAUUAUUAUGUAUACUUGCAGCUUUGUAAUAUGUCCCUUAUUAUCUUAUGGUUGAGACUAGCUAAUUUCUUGUAACAUUUUAAAAAUCUCGUGGUUUUGUAGACUAACUAAUGCCUGAUAAGAAGUACAACACUUGGUGCAUACAACUUUGUUUUACUUAUUCCCACACUGCACAAUUUGAGUAUGAUAAAUUGACUUCAAAUAAAAUCAAUCUAGCUCCUAUAUAUUACCCCUCUAAUUGUAACUAGUUUUGCCAAACAGAGUUUGUUAACUCUGAAACCUUUCAAAUAGUGAAUUGACUACAAAAUAAUAACUACUUUCACGUUUAAAAGAUGAUAGAGUAGGUUUUGAUUAAAGAACUCUACUAGUGCAGCUCCUGCCCUUAAUUAGUCUCUACUAGUACUGGUGAUACAAUAGGAGUGCCUAAUUGAUAUUCAUAAGUCAUAGUUAUUCCGAAUUCGCUACGUGAUAUCAGUCGAUUGAUUCUUUGCUUCAAUUUUCCACAAAUUUAUGGCACUGAUGUCAUACUACCUUUCUCAGUUACCAUAUCAGGAUCCCCUCCAAAUACUUGAGGCUGAUAUACAACAAGCUGCUGCAAUUCCAAGAGCCAGAGGAGGGACUCUUAUUAAAAUGAAAUUGGUUUGCAAUGGAUGGAUUGUUCUUGUGUGAAUGACAUACACUCUUAUUUUGUGUGAAUAAUUAUGAUAACUCUUUGUAUUGGAGGCACAUAUCCAUGCCACUUAUGUAGCCUUUUAUUUGUUGGUAAUCGAGGUAUAUAUAUGCUAUAAGUAAUAGGUAAUUAAUAAGUAACUUAUUGCAAGAGUGAUUGUUUAUACUUGCAAGAGUGAUUGUUUAUACUUCAGUUACCAUAAUACCAUGGUAUUAUUCAUCAUGUUGUUUUAUUUAUCCUAUGGAACAGAUGCUAUGCAAUAACCAUACAUUUUGGGUGUUUAAAGAUCCAAGUGGAUCACAUGGUGAGCUUUUUGGAUUUGAGAUUGAUUUAUGCAAGAUUUAUGGGACUUAACUUAUGCAGGUUUCAUUAGACUAGUUAAAAUCUUGUUCUUUUUAUUUUAUCUUGUUUUGUUUUGAAUUUGGUUUAUGCAAAAAAAAAGUUCUAUUAAAAAAAGCUGGAAAGAUGUCUUUAGGUUGUAGGUUUGAAUUUUACUCUUCAAAUCUAAUUUCAAAUGGUUUUAUGUUCUAAUAUUUUGGGACUGGUUUAUGCAGGUUUCAUUGGACUCUUUAUAUUGUAGUUUUGAAUUUGGUUUAUUGAUGUUGAUGGUUGCAGCAAAUUGAAUUGAGUAAUGGAGCAAUUGAAGGCAUUAAGAUUGAGUUCAGUAAUUAUAAUACAGGUAACCGAAUAAGAAGAGUCAAGUGAUGGUAGGCGUUUCCGAGUCUAGUUAACGCUAAUUAAGGAUUAUGAAGCAACAUCACAUACUAGGGAUAUUUAGAUAUUUUUUAACUUAUUUUGACGUAAUGUUAUGUUUAACCACUCUACUAAUAUUUAUGUUUUAGGUUUUGAAUGAUUGAACUACAUUAGUUUCUUUCGUUUGGAACUUCAAGUACUUGAAUUAAAUUUUGGAUGUAUGGAUCUUGUCACUAUUGAAUGAAUUAUAUAAAUGAGAUU
Trifolium pratense (red clover) is the source of this 2569-nucleotide long non-coding RNA. RefSeq lists it as uncharacterized. The transcript is spliced from 2 exons. NCBI's taxonomy places the organism in Eukaryota, Viridiplantae, Streptophyta, Magnoliopsida, Fabales, Fabaceae. The record is from RefSeq and is a predicted model, not a curated record.